CCGGAGCUUGCUCCACCGGAAAAAGAGGAGUGGCGAACGGGUGAGUAACACGUGGGUAACCUGCCCAUCAGAAGGGGAUAACACUUGGAAACAGGUGCUAAUACCGUAUAACAAUCAAAACCGCAUGGUUUUGAUUUGAAAGGCGCUUUCGGGUGUCGCUGAUGGAUGGACCCGCGGUGCAUUAGCUAGUUGGUGAGGUAACGGCUCACCAAGGCCACGAUGCAUAGCCGACCUGAGAGGGUGAUCGGCCACAUUGGGACUGAGACACGGCCCAAACUCCUACGGGAGGCAGCAGUAGGGAAUCUUCGGCAAUGGACGAAAGUCUGACCGAGCAACGCCGCGUGAGUGAAGAAGGUUUUCGGAUCGUAAAACUCUGUUGUUAGAGAAGAACAAGGAUGAGAGUAACUGUUCAUCCCUUGACGGUAUCUAACCAGAAAGCCACGGCUAACUACGUGCCAGCAGCCGCGGUAAUACGUAGGUGGCAAGCGUUGUCCGGAUUUAUUGGGCGUAAAGCGAGCGCAGGCGGUUUCUUAAGUCUGAUGUGAAAGCCCCCGGCUCAACCGGGGAGGGUCAUUGGAAACUGGGAGACUUGAGUGCAGAAGAGGAGAGUGGAAUUCCAUGUGUAGCGGUGAAAUGCGUAGAUAUAUGGAGGAACACCAGUGGCGAAGGCGGCUCUCUGGUCUGUAACUGACGCUGAGGCUCGAAAGCGUGGGGAGCAAACAGGAUUAGAUACCCUGGUAGUCCACGCCGUAAACGAUGAGUGCUAAGUGUUGGAGGGUUUCCGCCCUUCAGUGCUGCAGCUAACGCAUUAAGCACUCCGCCUGGGGAGUACGACCGCAAGGUUGAAACUCAAAGGAAUUGACGGGGGCCCGCACAAGCGGUGGAGCAUGUGGUUUAAUUCGAAGCAACGCGAAGAACCUUACCAGGUCUUGACAUCCUUUGACCAC
This 947-nucleotide ribosomal RNA is filed under the name Enterococcus faecium. RNAcentral describes it as "bacterial SSU rRNA". It matches the Rfam family "Bacterial small subunit ribosomal RNA", at positions 73 to 998 of the family's 1533-position model. The record is from RNAcentral. Lineage: Bacteria; Bacillati; Bacillota; Bacilli; Lactobacillales; Enterococcaceae.